RNAcentral lists this ribosomal RNA (194 nucleotides) under uncultured bacterium. RNAcentral's name for it is "partial 16S ribosomal RNA". It matches the Rfam family "Bacterial small subunit ribosomal RNA", at positions 1293 to 1500 of the family's 1533-position model. The record is from RNAcentral.
UCGGAUUGUAGGCUGAAACUCGCCUACAUGAAGCUGGAAUUGCUAGUAAUCACAGGUCAGCAUACUGUGGUGAAUACGUUCCCGGGCCUUGUACACACCGCCCGUCACACCAUGAGAGUUGAGAAUACCCGAAGCCCAUGUCAAAGUGGUCGAAGGUAGGCUUGAUGAUUGGGGUGAAGUCGUAACAAGGUACC